UUGCCUACCCUGGAUUCCAGAGCCUUCGACAGUAAAUAAUAAAUUGAAAUGUCGCGAACAUUUCAAUCUAUUAUUUACUGUCGAAGGCUCUGGAAUCCAGGGUAAAUA
Non-coding RNA from Paramuricea clavata, 108 nucleotides. The record is from the annotation of a GenBank genome assembly. Lineage: Eukaryota; Metazoa; Cnidaria; Anthozoa; Malacalcyonacea; Plexauridae.